This 221-nucleotide long non-coding RNA is filed under the name Dunaliella salina. Its description in RNAcentral is "long non-coding RNA (DSAL_LNC000442)". The record is from RNAcentral. Lineage: Eukaryota; Viridiplantae; Chlorophyta; Chlorophyceae; Chlamydomonadales; Dunaliellaceae.
CGCUGGGGUGAGUGAGGCCAUUGUCAUGUGCACAGCCUGGGCAAUGGCUUUCCUUGGUUGGAAGGCUGACUGUGCUGAAUCUGCUUGCUGUUGAAGGUCUGGAACUCCAGUCUUUCAGGUAUCAUCUUGCUCUCUGUUGCUGGACCUGUCCUCGUACGCUGCUUGUCAUGCUUCUCUCAGUCUGAACUUUGUGGUGGGGGGGUCCAUACGGUUUGUGCACC